RNAcentral lists this ribosomal RNA (253 nucleotides) under uncultured bacterium. RNAcentral's name for it is "partial 16S ribosomal RNA". It matches the Rfam family "Bacterial small subunit ribosomal RNA", at positions 524 to 776 of the family's 1533-position model. The record is from RNAcentral.
UACGUAGGGCGCAAGCGUUGUCCGGAAUUAUUGGGCGUAAAGAGCUCGUAGGCGGCUUGUCACGUCGGAUGUGAAAGCCCGAGGCUUAACCUCGGGUCUGCAUUCGAUACGGGCUAGCUAGAGUGUGGUAGGGGAGAUCGGAAUUCCUGGUGUAGCGGUGAAAUGCGCAGAUAUCAGGAAGAACACCCGUGGCGAAGGCGGUUCUCUGGGACGGUACUGACGCUGAGACGCGAAAGCGUGGGGAGCAAACAGG